AUUGAACGCUAGCGGGAUGCCUUACACAUGCAAGUCGAACGGCAGCGCGGACUUCGGUCUGGCGGCGAGUGGCGAACGGGUGAGUAAUGUAUCGGAACGUGCCCAGUAGCGGGGGAUAACUACUCGAAAGAGUAGCUAAUACCGCAUACGCCCUACGGGGGAAAGCUGGGAAUCGUAAGACCUAGCGUUGAUGGAGCGGCCGAUAUCUGAUUAGCUAGUUGGUGGGGUAAAGGCCUACCAAGGCGACGAU
RNAcentral lists this ribosomal RNA (250 nucleotides) under uncultured bacterium. Its description in RNAcentral is "partial 16S ribosomal RNA". It matches the Rfam family "Bacterial small subunit ribosomal RNA", at positions 30 to 280 of the family's 1533-position model. The record is from RNAcentral.